Molecule: ribosomal RNA, 301 nt
Filed under: uncultured bacterium
Lineage: Bacteria
Description: partial 16S ribosomal RNA
Rfam family: Bacterial small subunit ribosomal RNA
Source: RNAcentral
CAGUAGCCACGGGAAUACGGAGGGUGCGAGCGUUAACCGGAAUAACUGGGCGUAAGGGGCACGCAGGCGGUGACUUAAGUGAGGUGUGAAAGCCCCGGGCUUAACCUGGGAAUUGCAUUUCAUACUGGGUCGCUAGAGUACUUUAGGGAGGGGUAGAAUUCCACGUGUAGCGGUGAAAUGCGUAGAGACGUGGAGGAAUACCGAAGGCGAAGGCAGCCCCUUGGGAAAGUACUGACGCUCAUGUGCGAAAGCGUGGGGAGCAAACAGGAUUAGAUACCCCCGUAGUCCCUGUCUCUUAUAC